Molecule: ribosomal RNA, 227 nt
Filed under: uncultured bacterium
Lineage: Bacteria
Description: partial 16S ribosomal RNA
Rfam family: Bacterial small subunit ribosomal RNA
Source: RNAcentral
AACCUACCCUUGAAACCGGGAUAACUUCGCGAAAGCGAUGCUAAUACCGGAUAUUGUCUCUGGAUCUGUGGAUUUGGAGAUGAAAGGUGACCUCUUCAUGAAAGUUGCCGUUUAAGGAUGGGCUCGCGUACCAUUAGCUAGUUGGUGGGGUAAUGGCCCACCAAGGCGACGAUGGUUAGCUGGUCUGAGAGGAUGAUCAGCCACACUGGAACUGGAACACGGUCCAG